GAUGGUAUAGCUCAAAUAGCGGAGCGCAUGCUUAGCAUGCAUGAGGUCCUGGUUAAAUCUCCAGUAUCUACA
Molecule: transfer RNA, 72 nt
Filed under: Camelus bactrianus (Bactrian camel)
Lineage: Eukaryota; Metazoa; Chordata; Mammalia; Artiodactyla; Camelidae
Also listed under: 2 other names
Rfam family: tRNA
About the family: Transfer RNA (tRNA) molecules are approximately 80 nucleotides in length. Their secondary structure includes four short double-helical elements and three loops (D, anti-codon, and T loops).
Source: Rfam by way of RNAcentral